CCUAGGAAAUCACCUCCUGCAGUUAUGCCCUAAAGUCGUCAACCUUCUUCCACAUUACGUGCUUCGACUUUAUAGUUGCACUGUAUGUCAAAAUUUAGUACGUGAUAUUGCCUGAUUAAAAUAAAUUUGCCUUAAUGAAAACAAAUUAUCAUCCCAAUAUUUUCCUUAUGGUCGUCCUCUUUUCACGCCGUCUCAACCGGUCUCAACUACCACCAUAUUGUGACAGGAUCAGUAUUAUCUUCCAUUGCAGAAGGUAAGUACACGGAAUUAAAAAAAAUACAAUCAUACAUUACGUCGGACGAACAUACCCACGUAAGUUCAUGUGAGCAACUAACCAAAUAUAAGUUUAUUCAGUGUGCGCCUGCUAAUCUGGAAAACGCCUGCAUGAAAUCGGCAAAAUUUCUCGGAAAUUGCAAUUGUGUUGCGGUUGCCAAUUUCAUUGGUGUGCCCUCGCCCUAGAGGAAUAACGUACUAGAAUAUUUACAUUCUUCUCUGGCGAUUUGGCAACGAGACAACUGCAGAAAUGCAGUUCAUGUCUGUCCUCCAUAAGUAACUUGUAAUAAGUUGGGCGGAUUUUAAUGGCAUUUGAAAUAUGUACGUUGAACAGUAAUUUCUCAACAUAUUACAAUUCUGGUCAAAACCAGACAAGAACGGGCACUAUGCGAGAAGACCUGCGUGAUUAUAUUCUUAUAUAACUUCCUGUGCUCGGGAACGUAAGUGUAUCACAUCACUAACCGGUUCUAAACGCAGCACAGUUUCCCAACACUUGUACAUAUUAGUGCCUAGUGCCCUUCCCUUGGUCCCCAAACAGUAAAGCCACCCUUCCGACACAAAAAAAAAUCAGUCUUCAAAUAUGCUGAGAAAUGGUCGGAUUUUGUCUUGAUCAGUGGUCCAUAAUCCAGUAUGGCGGCAUAAUUACUCGAAACCGCCGAUUCCAAAUCUUCGUUCUCGGCAAUGCGUGCAUUUGCUUCCGUGUGAACAGACUUCCACUGCCUCUACCACACUUUAACUGUUCUAAUCGUUCGGAUUUUGUUUUUAUUUUUCAAAAUGUGGGACCAUGUUGAAGACGUCAAUCCAUAGAGAUUUCUGUUCCGUUCUUCGACGAGUGCAAAGCUCACAGGUCUACAUACUUAAAGAUUCGCAUUCUAGCUUAAGUGUUUCCCUUUCAUUGCCAUAAUUUGGGAUAACAUCUAAUUAAAAUGCAGCAUCAUCACAAAAAUUUCCACCCCGAAGCCGUUAAAAUGCGGUAUGUGCCGUCCUAAAAAUAUGGUCCCCAACUGCGCGUGCGCGCAAAGCACAUAUACCUGAAGGGCCUCAAGGGCUCAAGGGUGAGGAAGUUCAGUAUUUGGACGAUUUGCGUUCAUUUAUGUCGUCUCAGCUUGUACCAUGUGCCCCAUAAACAACGUUGUAAAAUUUGGGAAUGUGAUUCGGGUUUUGAUAACAAUUAGGCUUCACAGAAACUAAAACCUCGGAUAAUGUUUUCCAGUCGGAGGAUAUAAUGGAGACGAGAGCAAGGUGAUCAGCCUUGCAUCCAACCCCCAACCUGGACAACUUUGUCUCUGUACUUGAGUUUCACAGUAACAGGUUGGCCCAGUUAUAACCCCAGGCACUUCUACAACUUGCAGGACAUCUAUAAACAGUGAGGGAAGAUUAAAAGGGUAAUAGAGAUUAACUCACCAUCGCCUGGUGGUAAUAAACAGAAGUUGAUGGGCACGAUGAUUACCAUGAGGAUCCCAAGUGUGUAGAAGGGUAGUCCAAACCCUCCUACCUAGAAAAGGAGGAGAGACAUUUGAGGAUGACUGGGUCGAGUGCGGAAGCUGUCUGGAAUGGUGGCAUUAGGUUAGUUCCAAUUGGGAAGGAGGUGACAACUUCCUGUGUGACCACUGCAGAAUUUGAUGCAUGUGAACUGGUAUCUACCCAGGUGUCCAUGAGUGCACAUUUGGAAACUUUGUUCAAAGAACUACUGCGAAGAGUACGUACGUUUCCCAUCAAUUUUUACAUCUGAUAUUUGUAGGCAACAGACAGAUAAAACUUGGCAUGUAUUUUAAAUUCAUUUAUUGUGUAACAUAUGCUGAGCCCAGUUGAAAAACUGUGAAAUGCACACCCUUACCCUCACUUCCCUUAAAUCUAUAUAAUUUUAACAGUCCAUGAUAGAGAAUUCAGAAGCUUUAUCAUCUGUAAUAUAGUUUGGGUUGAUAAGCACUGUUCUAUGUUAUUUAAAUUAGAAAGUUUCAAGAUUCCACAGUACUGUAACUUUAUAAUUGUACUGCAGCAAUGAAAGUAGCAACUAUAUGAAGGCCACUUCUAUGGUGAACAGAUGAACAUAGAGUGAUAUGUAGACCCACUGCUAGACAACGACCAUGAAAUAAGCAGCUGUACAAUAGCCAUUGCUAACUAAUGACUCUGUAAAUAAUGGACAUUGCUAGAUGGCCACAACAGACAUGCACACAACAAAAGAGCUGUAGGAAGUGGUGUUCUCUGUGCUAUCUGUGCUGAGGCUUCAUAACAAGGGCCAGUUGGCAUUAGGAGAGAGUCUUGAGAUGUAGUAAGAAGGGUAUGAGGUUGGUAUAAGAGAUGGAUGCCAGCCUGUGAGCAAAGGGGCAUCCCCUGGUGAAGACACAGCAGACUGAGAAGACUUACGUGCUGUAGCGAGCUGCUGAGUGUGACUUAGUGAAAGCGCUAUAGUUACUUGUAGUUACAAUCUGUAAAUGCUCAGUAAAUCCAAUUACCAAACCAAACCCCAUCUAUAGUCACUCGAUACAAAAUAUAUUAUUACAACACAGACUAUCUCUUCAGCAUUAGAACUGACAGAAAAUCAUUAACAAUGAGGUUACCUCAUCUUACAUACAAAUAAAUCAACUGCAUAGAAGACAGCUUUGGAAAUCAAAAUAAUAGGGCUGUCUGAUUUCCAAGAAAAGCAAUGUACAUCAAGGGCAUUCUAAUACUUUAUGGCUUGUAAAAACAAUGAAAAUAAUUUACAUGACCAGUUUGGAAAUUAUAUUGUCAGUAAAUUUUGUAAUUCUG
Long non-coding RNA from Cryptotermes secundus, 3024 nucleotides. RefSeq lists it as uncharacterized. The transcript is spliced from 4 exons. The record is from RefSeq and is a predicted model, not a curated record. Lineage: Eukaryota; Metazoa; Arthropoda; Insecta; Blattodea; Kalotermitidae.